This 88-nucleotide transfer RNA is filed under the name Actinomycetota bacterium. Its description in RNAcentral is "Actinobacteria bacterium tRNA-Leu". It matches the Rfam family "tRNA". Rfam says of the family: Transfer RNA (tRNA) molecules are approximately 80 nucleotides in length. Their secondary structure includes four short double-helical elements and three loops (D, anti-codon, and T loops). Lineage: Bacteria; Bacillati; Actinomycetota. The record is from RNAcentral.
GCCCGGGUGGCGAAAUGGCAGACGCAGAGGGCUUAAACCCCUUGGCCUCCAACGAGGCGUGCGGGUUCGAGUCCCGCCCCGGGCACCA